Molecule: ribosomal RNA, 428 nt
Filed under: uncultured bacterium
Lineage: Bacteria
Description: bacterial SSU rRNA
Rfam family: Bacterial small subunit ribosomal RNA
Source: RNAcentral
UAGGGAAUUUUCGUCAAUGGGCGCAAGCCUGAACGAGCAAUGCCGCGUGAGCGAAGAAGGUCUUCGGAUCGUAAAACUCUGUUGCGGGGGAAAAAGGAAGGAAAGAGGAAAUGCUUUUCUUUUGAUGGUACCCCGCCAGAAAGUCACGGCUAACUACGUGCCAGCAGCCGCGGUAAUACGUAGGUGGCAAGCGUUAUCCGGAAUGAUUGGGCGUAAAGGGUGCGCAGGCUGCGCGUCAAGUCUGAAGUGAAAGGUACGGGCUUAACCGGUACAGGCUUUGGAAACUGGCACGCUAGAGGACAGGAGAGGGCGGUGGAACUCCAUGUGUAGCGGUAAAAUGCGUAGAUAUAUGGAAGAACACCAGUUGCGAAGGCGACCGCCUGGACUGUUGCUGACGCUCAGGCACGAAAGCGUGGGGAGCAAAUAGG